AGAUGUGAGGGCGAUCUGGCUGUGACAUCUGCCACCCCAUUGAUCCCCAGGAUUGAUUCUGCUGAUCUGGCUGGCUAGGCGGGUGUCCCGUUCUUCCCUCACUGCUCCAUGUGUGUCCCUCCGGAAGCUGGGCACUCAGUCGAAGAGGACGGCCUUCCCCUAAAAGGGCUGGACCCGGUCUCCCCU
Molecule: small nuclear RNA, 186 nt
Filed under: Erinaceus europaeus (western European hedgehog)
Lineage: Eukaryota; Metazoa; Chordata; Mammalia; Eulipotyphla; Erinaceidae
Description: 7SK RNA
Rfam family: 7SK RNA
About the family: 7SK was discovered as an abundant small nuclear RNA in the mid-70s but a possible function has only recently been suggested. Two independent studies have found that 7SK RNA binds the CDK9/cyclin T complex (known as elongation factor P-TEFb).
Source: Rfam by way of RNAcentral